RNAcentral lists this ribosomal RNA (389 nucleotides) under Cercomonadidae sp. RNAcentral describes it as "partial small subunit ribosomal RNA". It matches the Rfam family "Eukaryotic small subunit ribosomal RNA", at positions 582 to 975 of the family's 1831-position model. The record is from RNAcentral. Lineage: Eukaryota; Cercozoa; Cercomonadida; Cercomonadidae.
AUUCCAGCUCCAAUAGCGUAUAUUAAAGUUGUUGCAGUUAAAAAGCUCGUGGUUGGAUUUCCGGCGUGAGGGAUCAGUCUGACUUCUAGUCAGUACUUGGUCCUCUCAUGCCGUCCUUGAAUGGUGCAUCCUGGCAUUAAGUUGUCGGGGUGAGAGCCGUUCAUCGUUUACUUUGAAAAAAUUAGAGUGUUUAAAGCAGGCUUGUGCUAUGAAUACGUUAGCAUGGAAUAAUAAUUUAGGACUUUGGUCCUAUUUUGUUGGUUUCUAGGACCGAAGUAAUGAUUGAUAGGGAUAGUUGGGGGUGCUAGUAUUCAGCGGCCAGAGGUGAAAUUCUUGGAUUCGCUGAAGACUAACUUAUGCGAAAGCAUUCACCAAGGAUGUCUUCAUCA